CAUAGGAUUUUAACCAGAAUUUUAGAGUGGACAUCGCCGCUGUUCGAUAUUAAUCAUAAGGAACUUGGCCCAGAAAUGUUCUUGACAUGAGCAAGAGAAGUCUAUGGAGUCAUUUUACCGAAAAGAAUAGGUGAGUUGACAUGACAGUAACCGCCAACGCUGGUCCAAUUUGUCUCCACUAAGAGGAGCUCCCUUUCGUGUGCAUCAAAGGGUGGUAUUUGAUGUUUUUUGUGGUGCCUUGGUUCUUUGUUGUCGAUUUCAAUCCUCCUCUGUCAAAAUCCAGGCUGAUUUGUUAUAACUGAAAAUGUCUUUUAAAAAUCUUGGCAAUUUUGAAAAUUGCUGGAAUUGGUUUGGAUUGCUGGGGCAGACUCCCUUUUCACAUGUGUCGUGUCCUGCAUAUAGAGGGCGCUAGUGUACACCCUGUGAAUAACUGCUGAGGAUCUGUGAAUAAAGAUCAGUCAUGGUGUAGACAAGUAAA
Frankliniella occidentalis (western flower thrips) is the source of this 478-nucleotide long non-coding RNA. RefSeq lists it as uncharacterized. The transcript has 2 exons. The record is from RefSeq and is a predicted model, not a curated record. NCBI's taxonomy places the organism in Eukaryota, Metazoa, Arthropoda, Insecta, Thysanoptera, Thripidae.